Molecule: ribosomal RNA, 497 nt
Filed under: uncultured bacterium
Lineage: Bacteria
Description: partial 16S ribosomal RNA
Rfam family: Bacterial small subunit ribosomal RNA
Source: RNAcentral
GAUGAACGCUGGCGGCGUGCCUAAUACAUGCAAGUCGAGCGAACAGACGAGGAGCUUGCUCCUCUGACGUUAGCGGCGGACGGGUGAGUAACACGUGGAUAACCUACCUAUAAGACUGGGAUAACUUCGGGAAACCGGAGCUAAUACCGGAGAAUAUAUUGAACCGCAGGGUUCAAUAGUGAAAGACGGUUUUGCUGUCACUUAUAGAUGGAUCCGCGCCGCAUUAGCUAGUUGGUAAGGUAACGGCUUACCAAGGCAACGAUGCGUAGCCGACCUGCGAGGGUGAUCCGCCACACUGGAACUGAGACACGGUCCAGACUCCUACGGGAGGCAGCAGUCGGGAAUCUUCCGCAAUGGGCGAAAGCCUGACGGAGCAACGCCGCGUGAGUGAUGAAGGUCUUCGGAUCGUAAAACUCUGUUAUUAGGGAAGAACAAAUGUGUAAGUAACUAUGCACGUCUUGACGGUACCUAAUCAGAAAGCCCCGGCUAACUACGUG